GACGAACGCUGGCGGCGUGCUUAACACAUGCAAGUCGAACGAGAAGAGAUGAGAAGCCUGCUUCUUAUUGAUUCGAGUGGCAAACGGGUGAGUAACGCGUAAGCAACCUGCCCUUCAGAUGGGGACAACAGCUGGAAACGGCUGCUAAUACCGAAUACGUUCUUUUGUCGCAUGGCAGAGGGAAGAAAGGGAGGCUCUUCGGAGCUUUCGCUGAAGGAGGGCUUGCGUCUGAUUAGCUAGUUGGAGGGGUAACGGCCCACCAAGGCGACGAUCAGUAGCCGGUCUGAGAGGUCGAACGGCCACAUUGGGACUGAGACAGGCCCAGACUCCUACGGAGGCAGCAGUGGGGAUAUUGCACAAUGGGGGAAACCCUGAUGCAGCGACGCCGCGUGAGGGAAGACGGGUCCUCUGGAUUGAAAGUUCUGUUAUACGGGACGAAUGGCGUAGCGGUCAAUACCCGUUAGAGUGACGGUACCGUAAG
RNAcentral lists this ribosomal RNA (481 nucleotides) under uncultured bacterium. RNAcentral's name for it is "bacterial SSU rRNA". It matches the Rfam family "Bacterial small subunit ribosomal RNA", at positions 28 to 484 of the family's 1533-position model. The record is from RNAcentral.